UAGGGAAUUUUCGUCAAUGGGCGCAAGCCUGAACGAGCAAUGCCGCGUGGGUGAAGACGGUCUUCGGAUUGUAAAGCCCUGUUGCCGGGGACAAAGGACAGCCAGAGUGGAAAGCUGACUGUUUGAUGGUACCCGGCCAGAAAGCCACGGCUAACUACGUGCCAGCAGCCGCGGUAAUACGUAGGUGGCAAGCGUUAUCCGGAAUGAUUGGGCGUAAAGGGUGCGCAGGCGGCUGUGCAAGUCUGAAGUAAAAGGGACCGGCUCAACCGGUUCAGGCUUUGGAAACUGCACGGCUUGAGGACAGGAGAGGGCGGUGGAACUCCAUGUGUAGCGGUAAAAUGCGUAGAGAUGUGGAAGAACACCAGCGGCGAAGGCGGCCGCCUGGCCUGUACCUGACGCU
This 400-nucleotide ribosomal RNA is filed under the name uncultured bacterium. Its description in RNAcentral is "bacterial SSU rRNA". It matches the Rfam family "Bacterial small subunit ribosomal RNA", at positions 355 to 747 of the family's 1533-position model. The record is from RNAcentral.